This 18-nucleotide small RNA is filed under the name Arabidopsis thaliana (thale cress). RNAcentral describes it as "ATSL068870". Lineage: Eukaryota; Viridiplantae; Streptophyta; Magnoliopsida; Brassicales; Brassicaceae. The record is from RNAcentral.
AUACAUGUAUAAAGUCCU